CACCGCGGUUAUACGAGGGGCCCAAAUUGACAGCCCACGGCGUAAAGAGUGGUUAUGGGAAUAGAAAACUAGAGCUAAAGGGCCCCCGGGCAGUUAAAAGCAUUCCGGCCGCUCGAACCACAGUCACGAAAGUAGCUCUAACCCCUUCCACCAGAUUCCACGACAGCUGAGAAA
RNAcentral lists this ribosomal RNA (174 nucleotides) under Herklotsichthys quadrimaculatus (bluestripe herring). Its description in RNAcentral is "partial 12S rRNA". The record is from RNAcentral. Lineage: Eukaryota; Metazoa; Chordata; Actinopteri; Clupeiformes; Clupeidae.